Trichonephila inaurata madagascariensis is the source of this 66-nucleotide non-coding RNA. The record is from the annotation of a GenBank genome assembly. Lineage: Eukaryota; Metazoa; Arthropoda; Arachnida; Araneae; Nephilidae.
GUAUGCUCAGUGGUAGAGCAUUUGACUGCAGAUCGGGAAGUGCCCGGUUCAAACCCGGUGUCCCCA